Molecule: unclassified non-coding RNA, 214 nt
Filed under: air metagenome
Description: partial contains small subunit ribosomal RNA, internal transcribed spacer 1, and 5.8S ribosomal RNA
Rfam family: Eukaryotic small subunit ribosomal RNA (bases 1-46)
Source: RNAcentral
AAGUCGUAACAAGGUUUCCGUAGGUGAACCUGCGGAAGGAUCAUUACAUUCAGUAGCCUAGCUACUUGUUUAUACCCUUGUUUUUUGCGUACCCACUGUUUCCUCGGCGGGCUUGCCUGCCGGUUGGACAAAACUAUAACCUUUUUAAAUCUUCAAUCAGCGUCUGAAUUAUACAUAAUAAUUACAACUUUCAACAACGGAUCUCUUGGUUCUG